ACCUACGGGGCGCGGCAGUAGGGAAUUUUCGUCAAUGGGCGCAAGCCUGAACGAGCAAUGCCGCGUGAACGAGGAAGGUCUUCGGAUCGUAAAGUUCUGUUGAAGGGGAAAAAGAGCGGAGAGAGGAAAUGGUCUCCGAUUGAUAUUACCCUUCGAGGAAGUCACGGCUAACUACGUGCCAGCAGCCGCGGUAAUACGUAGGUGGCGAGCGUUAUCCGGAAUGAUUGGGCGUAAAGGGUGCGUAGGCGGCCUGCUAAGUCUGGAGGGAAAGGUACCGGCUCAACCGGUACAGGCUCUGGAAACUG
Molecule: ribosomal RNA, 305 nt
Filed under: uncultured bacterium
Lineage: Bacteria
Description: bacterial SSU rRNA
Rfam family: Bacterial small subunit ribosomal RNA
Source: RNAcentral